GUAGGUGGCAAGCGUUGUCCGGAAUUAUUGGGCGUAAAGCGCGCGCAGGCGGUCCUUUAAGUCUGAUGUGAAAGCCCACGGCUCCACCGUGGAGGGUCAUUGGAAACUGGGGGACUUGAGUACAGAAGAGGAAAGCGGAAUUCCAAGUGUAGCGGUGAAAUGCGUAGAGAUUUGGAGGAACACCAGUGGCGAAGGCGGCUUUCUGGUCUGUAACUGACGCUGAGGCGCGAAAGCGUGGGGAGCAAACAGGAUUAGAUACCCUGGUAGUCCACGCCGUAAACGAUGAGUGCUAAGUGUUAGGGGGUUUCCCGCCCCCCUUAGUGCUGCAGCUAACGCAUUAAGCACUCCGCCUGGGGAGUACGGCCGCAAGGCUG
Molecule: ribosomal RNA, 374 nt
Filed under: uncultured organism
Description: partial 16S ribosomal RNA
Rfam family: Bacterial small subunit ribosomal RNA
Source: RNAcentral